Molecule: non-coding RNA, 729 nt
Filed under: Enchytraeus cf. crypticus SL-2017
Lineage: Eukaryota; Metazoa; Annelida; Clitellata; Enchytraeida; Enchytraeidae
Source: RNAcentral
CAAAAUUUGAUUCUAGUUUUUUUAUUAUUUUCAAGAACAAAUAAAUACAUGCAUAAAAAUUAAAAUAUUAUAAGCAGUAUGCGACUCUAGAUAUGUAAAAAAUAUGAUCUGGUGAUUCUUGAUAAAGCCAGCAAAAUUCGUGCCUGCAGCUGCGGUUAUACGAUAGACUUAAAAUAAUAAAACAAGGAUAAAUUUAUGGUGAAUUAAAAAAUAUUAGCAGUCUAAUGCAAUAAAAUCUAAGUAUCAAACUCACCAAUAUAAAUAUAAAAUCUUUACCUAAAACAAGGAUUAGAUACCCUUUUAUUAAAGACAUAUAAAUAUUCCGAUAAAUACUAUCAAAUGAUAAAAAUUCAAAGAAUUUGGCGGUGUCUUAUAUACUCAGGGGAACCUGUUGCUUAAUUCGAUAAUCCACGAAAUUCAAUCCUUUUUUAGAAUAUUCAGCUUGUGUACUGCUGUCGUCAGUAAACCUUUAAAAGUUAGUUUACAGAUAUAAAAUAAAUUAUUAACGUCAAGUCAAAGUGCAGCCUAUAAAAAUGGAGCAAAAUGGGUUACAACCUUUAAAAAAGAUUACGAAUUCUAAAAUUAUAAUAUAGAUGAAGGUGGACUUGAUAGUAAUAUUUAAAUAAUACUAAUAUAAACAAUUAAUCUAAGACAUGCACACAUCGCCCGUCGCUCUCACCCAAAAUGAGAUAAGUCGUAACAAAGUAGUUAUAAUGGAAAUUGUAACUA